This 369-nucleotide long non-coding RNA is filed under the name Lingula anatina. Its description in RNAcentral is "uncharacterized LOC106179753". The record is from RNAcentral. Lineage: Eukaryota; Metazoa; Brachiopoda; Lingulata; Lingulida; Lingulidae.
UCUUUUCAGCAUCCUAACAAAAAUUUAGCAACGCCAAAAUUUGUUAGGAUUUUGUCAUAAAGCGACUCUCUUUUCAAUUAGAAGAUUAUCGGUGGAGCAAAAGAUAUGCUAUUUUGACGUAGAAACUGCAUGAGACUUCAAAACCUGGUCAAGAUCAAAGAUCAAAGAGGCAGGUAGCAGGAGGGUGGCAGAAACAUGUAAACUCCUAUAUAUGUGAAUCAAUUUGUACAGGGCAUUUGUACAUGUGCUUGUCUGGUCCAGCUUGACUAACAUCCCAACAUGGCUCAUGCAAGAUCAGACUCACCCCUGGGAAGUAAUGCAAGGGGAUCACCAAUAUCUUCACACAGAAUGUCAGGCCCUGUGAAAAAG